GCUGCAGGGGACGAGCGAGGAGCAGUGAGUGGGGUCCCACACAAAGCGCAAGGGCCACUCUCCAGCACACGCCCCAGACCCUCCUCCCUCUAAGGGGGACGUCCACCCCCACACCUGGGAAGCUGGCGUUAGGACGCAUCACCACCAGGAACUUUAGCCAAGGUCACAGUAAACACUCUCCCUACCCUCCCAGAAGGCAGAGCGUUAACCAUCUAACUUGACCAAAUGUGUCAGAAUGUUUGUAGCCUCCAAUUAAUUGCCUUCUGGGGUCUCCAACCGCCUUUUCCUCAAGUGGAUUCAUGUGCAUUUAAUUAUGAUGUAUCUAUAAAUCUCUCAGACAUGGUUCAGAAUAAACCUAUUGGGAAAGUAAAUAGCAGGUCUGCUGUUCUAGUCUUCUGCCUGACUGACCCAUCCUGCUGGUUUUGACAGAAUUAAUUGGACUGUGUUUUUAGGAUGGAACCAUUUCCCAUCUUACUCUCUUCCUCUCCUAGGAGAAGCCUCUCUCCAGCUGAAGAUCUCUACGGCAGACCUGCCUUUCCAGAUGCCUGUACAGUAUUCACAUCUGAGAGGAAAAAACAAACUGCUCUGGGUACUUAGUUCUCAAAGAGCCAAAAAAGCAGACCAAGGACCAUCACCCUCCAAGGCUCUCCAGCUCAUGAGAUCCUCAGCUUCCUCAAGUAUUUACCUCUUCCUGAAAUGGAUCAGUCCUAAGAGUGAUCUAAGCAGCAAUCAAGGCUUCAUGCUGGGACUCCCCUCACAGCUACUUCUCAGAUCCCAAGAGUGGAUACUGCGUGGCGCACCACCCUUCCAGUAGGGGAAACAAGAAAGGCAAAGGCUGGAUGACAAAUCCUUUCACAAGUCAGAUGUUUCUAAUUCUGUGCUUUCAACAAAACUGAAGAAAUACCAAACUGAGUUAGCAGCUGAUUCGUCAUUAAAGAAAGGACUGAUGGAG
Long non-coding RNA from Bubalus bubalis (water buffalo), 952 nucleotides. RefSeq lists it as uncharacterized. The record is from RefSeq and is a predicted model, not a curated record. The transcript is spliced from 4 exons. NCBI's taxonomy places the organism in Eukaryota, Metazoa, Chordata, Mammalia, Artiodactyla, Bovidae.